This is a long non-coding RNA of Triticum aestivum (bread wheat), 1044 nucleotides long. RefSeq lists it as uncharacterized. The record is from RefSeq and is a predicted model, not a curated record. The transcript has 2 exons. Lineage: Eukaryota; Viridiplantae; Streptophyta; Magnoliopsida; Poales; Poaceae.
CGUGCAGGUCGUCUCUCAAUCGUUUAUCAAUGACCUCCUUAUUCUGCUGCCUUCCCCAACCAUCUCCCUCUCUCUAAUCAGCCCUCCUAUCACCGUCAACGAAGUUGGAGGUUAGCACGAGAUCCUCUAUCUACUUUCUACAUUAUAUCCCUCGCUAGUCCCGAUUCUAUGCAUUGGCUCCCAUCUCCCUCCCUUGAUCUCUCUUUAAUUGGAAAAGAUAGCAACAUGGUUCUCUACUCUCUGAUUAAUGGCUUCAAUCCAACUCCAUUGCCGCAGAAAUUUCUAUAGAUCCAUAUUUUAUUUUUUUACUUUUUACUAGUGUUUCAAUAGUUCGGAUUUGAAUCAUAAGUUAUGAUCGACUAAACUCGCUACCCCGUCCUCUCGCCUUCAUCUGUCUACAUCCAUAAUCCGUCUUGCUUCGUUGCCGCCCCAAUCAAACACAACCGGCUUCCUGCUCCUCGAUCAAACUUCUCUCUCUUGAUGGCCUAACACCAGCCAAUGUUCCAAUAGUGGCUCUCCCCCAAUCGACGACUCAUCUCAAUCCAUUGGUGUUGCAUCAAUGCACUCUUUCCAACUUUUCACCUCGGAUAGGUUCUCUUUACCUGCAGUUUUCUCUAUCCAAAACAACGUCCACCGUUUUCUCCUAGGCUCAACGGAUAGUUGCUUCCAAGAUUUCUCUAUAUAGCAGAUUACUGAAUUCAAAUACGGGGUCGUCAAAGCUGCAGGCCGUCAGCCCCUAUCCCAAUUUUCCAUCAUCUUGAUGUUCAAAAUACUCAAACCAAAUAAGGACAUGCUGCUAUUUUAAGAGCAUCAUCAAAGCUUAAGGCACAGUGCUAGCAGUAUGCAAAUUAGCAAUUUAAUUAGGAAAACCAUAAACAUGAGUCGUAUUAGGCAGAUUAAUCGAGUAUUUUACCUUUACAGAAAUCCCUCACGUCCAUGGUUUAUGAUCUUUCUCCCGGUUGUAUCAUCCCAGUGUUGUUACACCCACAGAUAAAGGACAUGCUCUUGCAUAGCUCCUGGAAGGAAUAAUAUCUAGCGAAUACA